CAGCCGCCGCGGUAAUACGGAGGGUGCGAGCGUUAAUCGGAAUUACUGGGCGUAAAGCGUACGCAGGCGGUUUGUUAAGUCAGAUGUGAAAUCCCCGAGCUUAACUCGGGAACUGCAUUUGAAACUGGCAGGCUAGAGUCUCGUAGAGGGGGGUAGAAUUCCAGGUGUAGCGGUGAAAUGCGUAGAGAUCUGGAGGAAUACCGGUGGCGAAGGCGGCCCCCUGGACGAAGACUGACGCUCAGGUACGAAAGCGUGGGGAGCAAACAGGAUUAGAUACCCCGGUAGUCCCUGUCUCUUAUAC
This 301-nucleotide ribosomal RNA is filed under the name uncultured bacterium. RNAcentral's name for it is "partial 16S ribosomal RNA". It matches the Rfam family "Bacterial small subunit ribosomal RNA", at positions 509 to 807 of the family's 1533-position model. The record is from RNAcentral.